Molecule: non-coding RNA, 985 nt
Organism: Sus scrofa (pig)
Lineage: Eukaryota; Metazoa; Chordata; Mammalia; Artiodactyla; Suidae
Source: RefSeq, a predicted model, not a curated record
UUGAGUCCCCCGGGUUCCCACCUUUUCUCUCUCUCUCUCUCUCUCUCUCUCUCUCUCUUGGUCUUGUUAUUUUUGUGUCCUGUUGUUUUGUUAUUUUUUUCCUUAAGUUCUGUAGCACCCGUUCUUCAGCCGCAUCCUGCUGAGCUGGCCUUGGCAGAACAUAUUGCAAGUUUGUGUUUUAAAUCCUGGGUACACUUACCUGAGGUACCCAGAAGCUUACCUUACUUCUCUGUGAAUUUUGGCCUCCAAGGAGGGUUUGCCCAUGUCACUGAAGAUCAACACAAAUUCCCCCAUUACUUUGAAAAGAUGAUGAGACUGAGCUACAGAAAGGCAUUAAUAAAUUUACCAGGGGCAUGCUCUAAUAAGUGACAGAACCAAAGGGCAUCAUCAAACUCUAAGGAACAAGUGGCCUCACUUCUUCAUUUACAAUUAAACACCAUGGUGUCCAAGAAGAAGAUACCACUCAUUUCACACAGAUAGUUUCUGGGCAGAUAUAAGAGUGUAGAUCUUUCAAUUGAUUUCUUUCAGUUUCAUUCCAUUGUAUAUUACUAAACAACUGACCCUCAGGUCGUAAGAGUCAUGGGCUGGGUUUGCGACAACUGUGCAUCAUUGGAUUGUGUUGGUUCCCUUCCCCUGUGGACUUCAUUUCAGUAACUAUGGACAAAGCCAGUUAUGUUGGGUGAUCUGCUCAUGUCCUAUUCUGUACUGAACUAUUUAGUUAAUCCAUAGGAAGACUUUUCUGAAGGAUUAUCUAAGAAGCCUAGCAAAUCAUUGGUUCAGAGGGAAGUGGGUCUGCUUCAAGAUUGGUAAGUCUGUUAACUGGCUUCUUUUGAAUUUUUCAACCUACAAGUUGGCAUAUUCAGUAAUAAUUGAAAUUUCACUCUAUUUUAUGGAAGUUCUUCAUUUUCUACCUGUAAUGUAUAUAUCACUGCUAUUAUUUUUAUUAAAGGUAAAAAGAAUGUCCCCCCAAAUAAUAAAGAAUUAA